Molecule: non-coding RNA, 72 nt
Organism: Phrynosoma platyrhinos (Desert horned lizard)
Lineage: Eukaryota; Metazoa; Chordata; Lepidosauria; Squamata; Phrynosomatidae
Source: the annotation of a GenBank genome assembly
GACGGUGUGGUGUAGUGGUUUUAGUGUUGGACUACGACUCUGGAGACCAGGGUUUGAUUCCCAGCUUGGCUA